Long non-coding RNA from Physella acuta, 1003 nucleotides. RefSeq lists it as uncharacterized. The record is from RefSeq and is a predicted model, not a curated record. NCBI's taxonomy places the organism in Eukaryota, Metazoa, Mollusca, Gastropoda, Physidae.
CGAGCGAUUGCAAGCUGCUCUAAGUGAUGUGUUGAGGCGACUGACGAGGACUUAAACUUGGAGUGCGUGAGAGAGCCGUGUUUUCUGCGGCUCUGGAGUGGCGGGGCGGCUCAAGGGUUUUCUUAUAAGAGCAGGAGCGUCUUGCACUCGGUCAUUCUGCCGUGGACGACCAGAAAGUUGGACAUUGUGAGGUAGCGAACUGCUGGCGACUACAGAAAGUUGGACAUUGUGAGGUAGCGAACCGCUGGCGACUGAAACAGGAAUUUUUAAAGCUGAAAUUGUAUUUUUUUGGAUCUUUUGUCUUUUUCCUCAACAUUUGAACAAUGUCCCUGGUCCUACCAAUCUGCCUGUCCACGAUCGCCUUCUGUCUCUGCCUUUCUCUGGGUCAACAAGGCGUGUCGGCCAAAAGUCUACCAGACGACAUCGAUCUACGUCUGCUGGAGGACAGGUCAAGGCUGUUGGCCGGCCAAGUCCAGGGUCAAAGGUCGAAACGGUUCUCCUUCAAUGGGAACAUAAAAGCUUUGGCCGACAACAUGAGGGCACAAGAGGAGAUGGAACUUCUGGCAAAUUUACAAGAAAUGCUCAGAUCAGCUGGCAAACGGUCGUCGCUGGAUUAGUUCCUGCAUAAACGGUCGUCUGUGGAUUAAUUCCUGGUCAAACGGUCGCCUGUGGAUUAAUUUCUGGUCAAACGGUCGCUUGUGGAUUAGUUCCAGCCAAAACAAGGCGGAUGACGUUAAAACAUUCAAUUUUUCUCUGAUAUCCUAACAGAUAUUUUGAAACUUACAAUUCAGCAAUUCGAAGAAAAAACCCCAAAAAAGGACAUUUACACUGUGUGAUUUUAAAAUAUACAGAUAUAAAUCUUUCCUGCUUUAGAUAUAUCUGUUAAAAUGAACAAAAAAUAAUAAUUUUAGAACAAUUGAAGCGUAAAACUAUGGACAUGGCUCUUGUUUUUAAACAAAAAUUUUAAACUUUAAAAAAAUGUAUUAAAAAUUCCUAUGCCUUA